This 249-nucleotide ribosomal RNA is filed under the name uncultured bacterium. RNAcentral's name for it is "partial 16S ribosomal RNA". It matches the Rfam family "Bacterial small subunit ribosomal RNA", at positions 15 to 253 of the family's 1533-position model. The record is from RNAcentral.
GAUCCUGGCUCAGGAUGAACGCUAGCUACAGGCUUAACACAUGCAAGUCGAGGGGCAGCAUUUUAGUUUGCUUGCAAACUAAAGAUGGAGACCGGCGCACGGGUGAGUAACACGUAUCCAACCUGCCGAUAACUCGGGGAUAGCCUUUCGAAAGAAAGAUUAAUAUCCGAUAGUAUAUUUUCUCCGCAUGGUGAGAAUAUUAAAGAAUUUCGGUUAUCGAGUGGGGAUGCGUUCCAUUAGUUUGUUGGG